This 439-nucleotide ribosomal RNA is filed under the name uncultured bacterium. RNAcentral describes it as "partial 16S ribosomal RNA". It matches the Rfam family "Bacterial small subunit ribosomal RNA", at positions 339 to 795 of the family's 1533-position model. The record is from RNAcentral.
CUACGGGUGGCACCAGUGAGGAAUAUUGCACAAUGGGGGGAACCCUGAUGCAGCAACGCCGCGUGGAGGAUGACGCAUUUCGGUGUGUAAACUCCUUUUAUAUGUCAAGAAAAUGACGGUAGCAUAUGAAUAAGCACCGGCUAACUCCGUGCCAGCAGCCGCGGUAAUACGGAGGGUGCAAGCGUUACUCGGAAUCACUGGGCGUAAAGGACGCGUAGGCGGGUUGGAAAGUCAGGUGUGAAAUCCUACAGCUUAACUGUAGAACUGCACUUGAAACUUCUAAUCUAGAGUAUGGGAGGGAGAGAUGGAAUUAGUGGUGUAGGGGUAAAAUCCGUAGAUAUCACUAGGAAUACCUAAAGCGAAGGCGAUCUCCUGGAACAUUACUGACGCUAAGGCGUGAAAGCGUGGGGAGCAAACAGGAUUAGAUACCCUUGUAGUC